AGUACGCAGCGUUGGACGCUAUGAACAGCCUCCCUGGUCCCUUUUUCAUUCUCCUUGUUUCUCCUUGUUCUUUCCCGGCCUCCCUGUAGCUCCUGCUCUCUUCCUUGGUGUCCCGCCAUUUCAUUUAGUCAGUGGCAACUGUUCAGGCUAAAUUUUGAAAACACUCCUUCCUUGUAAAACUUACUGAAGUUUAGUGGAAGGUGCAAGAGCUUUAGAACAGACAGACCUGAGUUUCAGAUCUUGGACUAGCUACUAAUAAUUUGUGACUUUGGGCAUGCGAUGGAAGAACUAUUUUACCCUAUAAACUCUGGGCCAUCAUUCAAGGAAAAGCCUGUAGAAGACCACAGUCAGAUAUUGAGUUUUGAUUCAUCAUGGAUAAUCUGUCGUCAGAAGAAAUUCAACAGAGAGCUCACCAGAUUACUGAUGAGUCUCUGGAAAGUACGAGGAGAAUCCUGGGUUUAGCCGUUGAGGUAAGAAAAUGUUAGUCAUCAACUUAAGUAUAGAAAUUUAUAGGAGAGAUCCUAAUACUUCUGGCUGGAAUUAGUAUUAAAGGGUAAUGUAUCAAUAUGCUUUAUUAUUUGAAAUUAACAGUUGCUGAA
This 599-nucleotide small RNA is filed under the name Pongo abelii (Sumatran orangutan). Its description in RNAcentral is "retained intron". The record is from RNAcentral. Lineage: Eukaryota; Metazoa; Chordata; Mammalia; Primates; Hominidae.